ACUGGGUGUGGUGGCAUGUGCCUGUAGUCCCAGUUACUUGGGAGGCGGAGGUGGGAAGAUUGUAUGAGCCCAGCAGUUCUGGGUUGUAGUGUCCUAUGCUGAUCUGGUGCUGCAUUAAGUUUGGCAUCAGUAUGGUAACCUCCUGGAAGUGGGAGACAAUCAGAUUCCCUAAGGAGAGGUGAACUGUGCCAGGCUGGGAAUGGAGUAGGUCAAAACUCCCAUGCUGAUCAGUAGUGGGAUCAUGCCUGUGAAUAGCCACUGCACUCCAGUCUGGGCAACAUAGUGAGACCUCAUCUCUA
Molecule: unclassified non-coding RNA, 299 nt
Organism: Callithrix jacchus (white-tufted-ear marmoset)
Lineage: Eukaryota; Metazoa; Chordata; Mammalia; Primates; Cebidae
Rfam family: Metazoan signal recognition particle RNA
About the family: The signal recognition particle (SRP) is a universally conserved ribonucleoprotein. It is involved in the co-translational targeting of proteins to membranes. The eukaryotic SRP consists of a 300-nucleotide 7S RNA and six proteins: SRPs 72, 68, 54, 19, 14, and 9.
Source: Ensembl